RNAcentral lists this ribosomal RNA (253 nucleotides) under uncultured bacterium. RNAcentral's name for it is "partial 16S ribosomal RNA". It matches the Rfam family "Bacterial small subunit ribosomal RNA", at positions 524 to 776 of the family's 1533-position model. The record is from RNAcentral.
UACGGAGGGUGCAAGCGUUGUUCGGAAUUACUGGGCGUAAAGCGCACGUAGGCGGCUUUGUAAGUUAGAGGUGAAAGCCCAGGGCUUAACCCUGGAAUUGCCUUUAAGACUGCAUCGCUAGAAUCGUGGAGAGGUGAGUGGAAUUCCGAGUGUAGAGGUGAAAUUCGUAGAUAUUCGGAAGAACACCAGUGGCGAAGGCGACUCACUGGACACGUAUUGACGCUGAGGUGCGAAAGCGUGGGGAGCAAACAGG